RNAcentral lists this long non-coding RNA (18877 nucleotides) under Vitis vinifera (wine grape). RNAcentral's name for it is "long non-coding RNA (VVIN_LNC006177)". The record is from RNAcentral. Lineage: Eukaryota; Viridiplantae; Streptophyta; Magnoliopsida; Vitales; Vitaceae.
UGAGCUACGGUGGCACACGGUGGGCGACGACUAGGGCACUCUCGUAAUUCUAUCCCUUUUGCCUCCCCCUUUUUUCUUUUUUUCUUUUUCCUAAUUUAUUUACUCAUUUCCAUUAAAACAAAAUAAAUAAUAAAUAAAAUAAAAAAUAAAAAAUUAGGUGUUUCCUUUUCUUAGAUGUUGAUGUGAUGUAUCUCCCUCACGGCUUUUGUGUGUCCUGUUGUGCAAUAAAAUUAAAAAUAAAACCCCCAAAAAAAAAAAAAAAAAGUAGAGCUAGAGAGAGAAUGAGAGUGGAGUUUUUACUUUUUAGAGAGAGAAGGUGGAGGGUUUAGAGAGAGAGAGAGAGGGACAGGAUUUUACAAUGGGAGGAAAAAAAGGGGCAAGUGACAAACAGCGGGGAGGAGUUUAUGAGUUGUAAAGGCUCCACGUGCGGCACGUGUGGAGGAACCCGAGAUCUGGGCGAUUUAUCGCGAUAAAUUGAAGAGGAAAUAGACAAAGUGACGGUGAUUGAUUCUUUCUUUGCAUUUUUGGAACGCCUUCACUUUUACGUGCAUUAAAAGACAAGGAAAGUCUUGGGUGUGAGUGCUCACUGCUCACGCCCCUUCCCCUUGGACCACCACACCCCCACCCCAUCAUCCUACAAAUUUUAAUCAUCCCAUAAUGUAGCAGUGACGCACCAUCGUUGUUAAUUAUUUUACCUAUCUUACGUAACGUCAAAAGGAUAUUUGAUAAAAAUAAAAAAAAAAUUAAAAAAAAAAAGUCCAAGGGACAUGAAAGAUCAUGGUAAAGGUUUUUCCAUACAAGAAGGCCAAGUAACCGUUGGCAAUACCUUUUGAUUUUCAGCAACGGUGGGCUCUUCAGAGUAAAGCUUUUAUACUGACUUUAUACCUAACACAGCACAUUCCAGCCCUUUACUUGACCUUUUCAAACAGCUUACAUACAAAAUAUGCAAUUUUCUACACUGGGUUGUUCUACAAAGUCCGAAAAGGAUUGAGCAGCUGAUUUGCAUUCGGGUUGUUCUUUAGACCGAGACAGAUAGUAUUUUCCAAGGCAAAAAGGCUUUACUGUGAAGAGACGGUGACAAGUAUUUAAAUAGUAGGCAAGUGGGGUGGUUUUUGGAUGGCCUUUUUUCCAUUAAUAUUUUGUAUUGAAUGGAGGGUCUGUGUGUCUAUUCAUAAGUCGGUGAAUAAACCGUACCAUGGUGUGGUGAGUGGUCUCAUGCCUCAGUGACAUCAAUGCACUCUCUCAUGCCCCCUGCAGAGGUUAAUAACUGUACUGAAUCCGUCCAUAUCCACCAUCUGAUCUAUAUACUAUGGGUUUCCACUGAUUGGAUGGGAAUGGGGGGUGGGGGGUGGUCUAUUGUUGUUUUCAGUGGUCCUGACUCCACCUGAUGGUGUGGAGUGGGUACAUUGAUGGUAACAAACUAGGGAAGGGCAUUAUCAGUUUGAUUGAAACCAAUCACAUUUGUAGUCUGUGGUCUACCUGCCUUUUGGGGUAUGGACUCUCAUUGAAUCUGAUGAAGUAGUUGGAGACUUUAUGUCUAUUAUCUUAAUGGCACUAAUUAAUUGGCAUCUGGGGUUGGUAAAAUUGUAACUUUUUGGGGCAUGGCUGUAUGAUAGAAACCAUAGAAUCAUUGUGUGAUGGGGUGGUAACAUUUAUUUUAAUGUUUUUUGACAUGCAUUAAAGUAAAUUAGCAAAAAACAAUUCAUGGGUUUUUGAAUUCUCACCCGAUGAGAUAUUGGGCAUAUUCCCAUUUUUGUCCCAAUUAGAAUCCUCACAUUGGAUUACAGUUGUUUACAAAAAUCAGACUUAUUUUUGUUCUCAGAGGUAGAUUUUUCAACCACAUAUUUCUUCAAAUUGGGAAAAUCUAAAACAGAAUUAUAGCUCAUUUUUUUCCAAAAAUAAAAAAAUAAAAUAUCAUUAUUAUACAAAAACCAGUUUAGGAAUAAUCUAAGUUUUCAAAAAAACAAAUUAUUUUUGUAAACCUUUCCAAAUUAAUAACUAUUUUUUAAAAUAAUUAUAAAAAAUAGUUUUUGGAAACAAUUUUUUAAAACUGUUAUUAAAAUAUGUUUGAAAACUUAAAAUGUUUUUAACUUAUUUUUAAUCAUUUUAAAUAUUUAUAUAUUUAUUUUUUAAAAUACCUCUAAAAAAAAGGUAAAAAUAACUAAAGUGUAUUAUUUAAAAAUAUUGUAUUUUUUAUUUUUAAGAAUAAAAAAUAAAACAUAAUUUUUAAUUAUUAAACAAAUUUUUCAUAUUGUUAUUUUAAAGAAUAGAAAACUGUUUUAAAUAUCGAGGUUGUUGUGAUUGCAUGACUGCUUGGUUAAAUUGUGGCUGCUAAAUUUGCAAAUGAUCAUGAUUAAUAUCUUAAUCGUGUGUAGGAAGCUGUCGCCUGUACAAGAGGUGAGAGUGAGACAGUGAUGAAAAUACGAGUUUUAGUUUUGAUGAAUGACAAAUCCCUCCCAUUUUCAUCACUGCCCUUCACCUUUUUCUAUGCAAACACUUGGUCCAAUAGAAAAGGUGAAAUCAAUAAUAAAAGGGUUGAAAAAGCAAAAGCAGAAGGAGAUCAAUAAUUGCCAGCAAGGUGGAUUGGGCAUCAGAUCUCUUAUAUGCAACUCAACCUCUACUUCUCCAAUUGCCCCCCUCCUUUUCAAGGGCAUGGUCCUAUCACCUAUGUGGGUCACUCUCCCUUUACUUCCAUCAUGCCCAAAAUCCUUUCCCUCUAGGCUCUAUGAUGCCCAAUAACUUAAGUAGAAGUUCACCUUUAUUAUUUUUGGGCAUUAUUGGUACUAACUAUAUGUUGUAGUUACAAGCCAUUCUAUUUAUGGUAACAUUCUUUUUUAUCACCCUUCCAUCUUAAUCCAACUCAAAUUAACCUAUCAAUUAUUUUGUGGUUUCAUUUUAUCUUAUUUUUGAGAAAUCUAAAACUUAUUCUUACGUUUUAUGCAGAUUUUUAUAUCCGUUUAACUAAUCUUAUUUAAAUUAAUUUACGAUUUAAGUCAAAAUCCGAAACUAUCCCAAAUGAGACGUGAGUAUUAUUUUAUUAUUCUAUAUUACGGGAUAAUUAAUUUUGCGGGUUUUAAUAAAAUUUUAAAUUGUUUACAAAUGAAAUUUAGUUGAACGAAAGGCAUGUGAAGAGCAUCCUUGGAUGUUAAUAGUAUACAAAGAAGGAGUUGAUUGACUGCUAAUACCAAUGAUCUUAACUUGCCUUUUGCAUUGGGCGGUCGGCUGCCAUCAUUAACUAAUGAUCUAUGAUUGAGUAUAUUCCAAUACUGUACACGUGUCCUCCAUCCGCUGCACUUCUACAAAAGUGGACGGUUCUCAAGUACCCAGGAGCAAUUUUUUAAUUAGCACUCGCUUUACCAAAUCUGCCGCAUCUUUUCCCAAACACCAGGGUUUGGCUUCGUAAACAAGACUCAGCAACCAAAUUAAAAAUAAGUGAGUGAAACCCUGAAGUACGACGACACGUGGGAUCACAGCUGGAGUAGCAAUCAUGCCUUCCACUGGGUAGUGUGAUAUGCCACGUUGGCAAAAAGUGGGUGUCCCAGAAAACGUGUAAUGAUGGUGGAUUAUAUUGGAAAAGCAACUUUUCCACGUGGCAUGGCACGCCACGUCGAUAGCGUAGAGGGCUUUAUUACAACUGGAAGACAUCUGGCACGCGUUUUUGUUGUAAAUUGUCUGGCAGAAGUGGGCCACGUGGUGCCAGAGUAGGUCCACAGACAGCUCAGCGACUGGGAUUGUCGGUCGCUUUCGCUAGCUGUAAAUCAUCAUAAGCGGAGAAGCGUCCGUAUGCGGAUGACGUCAUUAUUAGAAACGAUUUUAUAGAAAUGAAAGUAAUUUUUGUUGGGUGGUGGGUGAGAUUUUUGAAUGAAAGUUCGAGAAAGUAGGGAGGGAGAGAGAAAGGAAAAAAAAAGUUUAAAAAAAGGCGGGACAGCGUGGCGGGCAUUUUGUGGAGGAGGUGGUGUUUGGGGAGUAAUAGAAUAUGGGGCUGUUUGGCUAAUAGGAUAGGAGUUCGGCUACGUGUAUGGAUCUGAUUGGCUAAUCCUGACAGAGAAAAUUUUGCCUAGUGAGAGAUGAUCUCGGGAAAGCAAAUAUAUUUGUUCGAGAAAUAUUAAAUUUUUAAUUCAUUUGCAAUAAAUUCAAUAGCAUAUGAUAUGAAAUAUUUACAUUCCAUAAACAAAUUUUCCCUUAUUUUGAUUUAGAUUUUUUUUUUAAGGUAUGGUAUCGGUAUAUUAAUACUAGAUUUUCUCAUAUAGAAAUAGAAUAAUAUGAAUAACUAUGAUAUCCCUCAUAGUUUCAACGGGAAAGUUCUCAAAAUUGUUUUUUAAAACUGUGAUAAUUUUGGAUUAAAAGUAAAUAAUAUCUAUACGAUUGGAUGUGAGUUACGAUAUUAUAUUUUUAUUUUUUGAUACGUGGAUUAUACACACGUUUUAAAAUAGCAAAGCCAUAUAGUCGGUGUAUUAUUUAAUAUUUGGAUAUUUUAUAAUUGUUAAUAAUUUUAUAGUUUUCACAUACGUGUUCCCAAUUUUAAAUAUUAAAACUCGUUUUAGGAAAAAAAAAUUUAAUUUCUAUAUCACAAAUAAUAAAAAUUAAUUUAAUUUACCAUGUUUGAGUUUUUACAUAAGCCCGUCUAAUUCCAUUAAUUCAUUUGUUUGAAAUUUUAUUAAAUACAUUUUAUGUCAUUAUUUUCUUUAGUUAGUUUUAUCGCUCAAGAUACAUGAGUUAUUUUAUAAAAUUUUAACGGAUGAGGAUUAAAUGUAUUUAACAAAAUCUUGAAAAUAAAUGAAUGAAAUUAAUCAUAAAUAAUAAUGCCUCCCUUUUCCAUACAUUUUUUUAGAAAAUCACUUAAUUAAAAAAAUACAUCUAUAUUAAUUAUCAAAUAAUCUUUAAUGUAAAAGUGAAUUUAGGUGAGAUUACUCAAUAUAAAUGUUUAUAGUAUGAUAUACAUAUUUGAACUCAAAUCCUAUAAAUUUUAAGUUUUUCGAAAAAUUGAUAAUUCAAUAUGAUAUCAGAGUUUUGUAUGAUAUGAGAUUGUAAACUCAAGCCCCUUCUCCACAAUUUGUAUGUUCGCUUCCCAGUCUAUUCCUCCUCUCCCCCCUACCUAAUUUGCAAUUCCGUGGUAUAACUCAACUCAGAGAUAAUGGAGAAAAUCUAUCACUACUGUGGCUAUUCAUAUUCAUCAGUCCAAUAUAACUCCAAAAGAGGUCAUUUUCAAUGUCUAUAUAAUACCAUGUUGCAUGUAGAUAUGAAGAUGAAUUGGUAACUGCUAGAAUCCAAUGUGUUGCAAAUUGCACUUCAAUUAUUGUUUCUGGAUUUGCUAAUUGCAAAGCUGUCUUCAUUUAUUUGAUGCUUAUCAUUAUUUUUUAACCUAUUGGUAAAAUAUAGGUGGCAAAUUUGUUAGGACGGUGGAAUUUGUACAUUAUGAUUUGAUUAUUAAUGUAAAAUAAGAUUUUUGGGUUGUCUUCUACUAUGGUCAAAAAUCUUGAUUAGUUAUUUUGCAUAUCAAUUUUUUCAACUUAAGUCGUAAAUGAAAUUAUGAAUAUGAAAACCAUUUUUUUUUUUACAGCAAAAGAACUUUGACCUUCAUUUUAACGAAGAAAAAAAAAACUAAGAGAAAUGUUUUUCUAUUGUCUUAUGGAGAGAGAUAAAAAAAAUAAGAAAAAACAUGGUUUUUUUUUUUUUUUUGGUCUUUAGAGAGAUUUUUUCACAGAAAAAGAAAAAGAAAAACUUUUCUUUUAAUAGUAUCAUGCUCUUUGAAAGUUUUAAACUUCAAAACACAGCUCCCUCGUUUUUUCAUUUUCUUAUUUAUUGGGUUAAAUCAGGUCAACCCAUUUGGGUGCCUAAUCCUAACUCCAACCGUUAUCAUAAAUAAGUGUUUCAAUUAUUCAUUUAUCAUUAAUUUACUUUUCUAACGAAUGAUAAAACUUCUUUAAACUUUCAAUAACCUGACUAAAAUGGCAUCGGACAACUUACAUUUAAUCUAUAUCAUGGAACGGUUUCGUACAAAAAUUACUUGGCAUUAAUGCUUAAUCACAUUGGAGGGCUAACCUAUUUUGUUUGAUACAUUGGACACACUUCAAUUAUUUAUACAGGCAAAUAAAACAAAAUUGUUCAUAAUUUUAUUCCUACUUGCAAAAAUGAGACAACCAAGUAGCCCUUAAAAUACUAACAAGCAUAAUUUGUAGAUUCUUAAGAAUGUAGGAGGCAUACUGAAUAUUGAAUACAUCUUUCAUAUUUUCAAUCAAUUGACUACCUUGUCUUAUAUCCAUAUCUCACAUUCAUAGGGUGGAUUAGAUUUAGUCCACUGAAAAUGAUGAUCACAAAAGUUUAUUAAAACAAAUGUGAGAUUGUGAUGUGAUUGAUACAAUUAUUUUUAUUAAAAAAAAGGGUCAAUUGUAUGAUUCAAAACAUCCAUACAUAUAUUUAAUUAAUUAAUUAUUAUUAUUUAUAAUUCAUGACCUCGAUUUUCCACUAAAGGAGUGGGUGGAAUUCUUGACAACCACUAAAAUAUGUGGGCAAGUUGUACUUUUUAUAUUUAUUUAUUAUUGUUAUUCAUUUUGUCAAUCCUUGAAUUGAUUAAGUCUAUGUUAUGGGAAAGUGCCAAUUUCUCUCUCCACGUGCAUAGCAUAUGACUAAUUUAUUAAAUUAGUGAAGCUUGAGAUCAACCUGCAGCUGCAUAAGGUAGGGAGAUUACAACUUUUGGUUCGAGGAAAUCAAGGAAACCUUUGAAGGAUUGAUAGAAAAGGGUUUGGUAUUAAUCAUUUGUGUAGCUUCUAUGCUUGAUGCUACUACUCCUAUUCAACCAUUAAUAUAUGGUUUUAAUUUUUUGUACUUAAAAUAGUAUUAAUUUGAGAAUGAAAGCUACUUUAUUGGUAUAAUUUGUAAGGAUUUGCGAUUAAUUUAAACAUAGCCGCUCGUAACCCACCAUAGAACCCUUUUUUAUUUUUUUUUCAAAUUCUUUAUUUGUGAAACUAUUUCAUUGAAAACAAGUUUUAUAAAAUUCAAUAUGGUUUUUGGGAUUUCUCAUCUGAUCGCUCCCGUUAAGCCAAGUUUGAGUAGGUGAUUAUGUUAUUAGAAUUCUUAGGUUUAGGACCGACAAGAGAUCCUCGUGAGUCAAGCUAAAAGCGGUAAGAUGUUAUUUAAAUUGACUUUUGAGAAUUAAAAAUUAUUUUUUAAAUUUAAUAAGAAUUUUUAUGUUUAUUUUGUUAUUUUUAUUUAAAACACUUAGUAGAAACUUAAUUUUAGGUUAUAAAAAAAGCCCUUCUAUAUUUGAUAAAAUCUUUAUAAUACCAAUACCAAAAUUUCAAAAUUAUCUUUUACCUUGUGAUGAAAGCCCAAAAAAAAAAAAGGAGUAAUGCCAUGUGAGGCAUAAGAGGCCUUAGCCCACACCCCACCAUUUACAAAGACAACAAAACCUUGGACCUGGGCCUCGGAGCACAGGCCCAAUGGGAGAAGAAUGGGUGGUCCUCUAUGAAUUUGUACGUUACAAUACUUCAUAUAUGGACUUGAAUGAUGUUCUUAAUUGCUGGAUUUUUUUAAAGAUAAAUGGGAUGGGAUAGUCUCAACAUCAUCAACUUCAAAUCAAUAUUUGUUGAUUCAUUUUCCUUUUUCAGCCUCUUGAAUCCCCAUGCACGUAACGGAUGUUGCUCUCACGAUUUCUCACUAUAUAUACAAACCACAGCAUACAUGCUUCCGCACUCGAUCGACAUGGCUCUGAUGCUGAAGCUCUUUCUUUUCACUCUUCUCUCUGCAUGGAGCCUGGGAUCCAUGGCUUCCGCACGGUACCUGGACAAGAGCUUCAGCCUUGCUGCUCGAUUACAUGCGGACGACGACUCAUCAUCCAAGUGCUGGGAGUCUUUGCUUGAGCUUCAGGCAUGCACUGGAGAGGUUGUCCUGUUCUUCCUCAAUGGUGAGACUCACCUUGGGGCCGGCUGUUGCCAAGCCAUUCAGACCAUUGAGCACCAAUGCUGGCCUGCCAUGCUUACUUCCAUUGGUUUCACUGCCGAGGAGGGCGACAUCCUCCAAGGUUACUGUGAUGCAACCACAUCCUCUUCGGCUCCCCCACCACCACCACCACCACCAUCCAUGGAGCCUAAUGACGUGGUUACCUUGGGUGGCUUUUUCCUCGAUCCUUAGUAGAACGCGUUCUUACUAGCAGUUAUGUCUUUUACAUAUAUCUGAUCCGCUAGUCUAAAUAUAUACAGAAAAGGGUGUUUGGAAUUAAUGAAUGAUUUCCUAUAUAUUGCCCCAUAUUUGUUGCAAUUAAAUUCCAUUUCUUGCUUGAAAAAAAGGUAUAAUAAUUUCCCAUCAUUGAUAGCACUAGUAGUUGUCUUUUAUGGGCUGGACGAGACACACAGAUCGACCCACAAUUCUGCUUACCCAGCCCAUGCUCAGUGGUUUGGACUAACAUAAUUGGAGGCCCAAAAGGGAUAUCAAUAAUAAGAUAAUGUUUGGAAGAUGAGUCUAUUUUUGUAUCUAGAUAAGACCAACUCAUCCCCCUCUAAUUAAUGGAGAGGUAACGGCGUGAAGGGCAAGAUUCUCAAGGACUCAAAAGCCUUUUUGCUUUGAUUUUCCAUCAAGGCAUCAGUGCCAUACACAUAAGUCCAUAAGGUAAUGAAUAAGGAGCGUCAAAUCAGGGUGGGAUGCGAAUAUGCGGAUUGAAAGCCAAGUAUUGAUUUUAGUGGUAUGAGGUGGGUCGUGUAUGGAUGGUGACAUCUAACUAUAAGUCUCUCAAAAGACUUCAAACUUCCCCCCAUCUCCGCCUUCUUUCAUGCUCUUUCCACUCUUCUUUUAACGUAGUAAUUUUUUUUCCCUUUGGGUAAUUAGGAUCUAAGCAUGGAAGAAGAGAAUAUUCGGAUGAGUGUUUCAAGAGUUCUUGGCUUUCUACACAUUGUUACUUCAUUUUCAAGCUGAGGAAUCAAUUGGUCAUUUGUUAUGUGCUUGUUUGUGAUCAUUGGGAAGCAGAUUUAGGGUUUUGAAAGGUCAAAUGCUAAUCAACAGAAGAAGAAAUUUACACCCCAUGCCAACAUAAAGAGAUAAUUGUGGUUAGGAUAGAUUUCAUAUAAUUAACUUCAACUAACUUCUCAUGACCUGCCAUUCCUAGUCAUCAUUCAGUUAGUUAUUUCCUUGCUAUGCCCAUGAUCGAUGCAUCGACCGUUUGCCACUUGUUUUCAUCCAAAAACCUGUCAUUUUCUCUCCGAUCUCGAUCCACUAGAAUGGAUCAAACUGGAUUCUUUCUUCCUCUGGAAUAAUGUAAAGCUAGACUAAAAUUUUAUACAUUCCUCUAUUGGUUGAUGGUUUAUUAAUGGUGAGAUAUCUUGUACAAAUUGAAUCAUCAAGGUCAUUGGAGUGGUGUCCUUGUUGACUAAUUAAUGGGUCCAUGUUUCAUGAUCAUAAGGCCAUCUUGCAUGAUUCAAAUAUACCCUAUUGAAAUGGUAUACAUACACAUGCACAUUGUUCAAAAACGCCCUAGAAAAAGGAAAGGAGGAUAAAAAGAAAUACAAGUCGUCCACUAGUGCCAUAUGUGGAAAAGUAGUGAGCAUACAGAUCUCAACUCCCCUAGAGAAAAUUGUCCUCGUAUGGAACCUCAACAAUGAAUUCUAGAGAAAGCUGUCAAGUGAUCACAGUCCAGAUGAAUCUUGAUUUAGAAGUUAGAAAAAUGAAGGGUUGUUAGGUUAGGGUAGUUAGUCAAUGGCACAAAGAUGUUAUCUUAAAAGUUGUGGAGGAGAGGAGAGGAGAGGAGAGAGUCAGAAAAAAGAAUGAACCUAUCAGAAGAAAGUAAGAAACAUCAAACUAUAAUCUUAUUAACAUGGAACGAUAAUCAUGAUAAAGCCACACAACAAGGGUUUCACAAGGACACACAGAGAGACCCAGGAAACAAGACACAAACUCAUCCAACAUAGCUCAGACAUAGAAAUUAUUUAGCAUAGUUGCUCACUGGCAAUUGUAAAUCUAAUUACACAACAAGCACACAUGCAUGCGUCUAGAAAAGAUGGUGAUGCUUCUUUCCAUGAGCCUCUUCAUCUUCUUCCUUGGCUUCUUUCUUCUCGUGAUGCUCGUGGAACGCGAACCCGCCAGCUCCCACUGCAGCAGCCGCGGCAAUCUCUUCUUCUAUCUUGUGCUUGUGGGCAUGCUCAGGGUCUUUCUCCGACUUGUGCUUCUCAUGCUAUAAUUCAAGCAUCAUCAAGACGAUAAGAAAUAGUUCCUUUGUAUAAAAUUAAUUAAAACAAAAAUAUUUUCAAACUUCAUGACACACGGGGCAUUACCAAGGCGUAAGCGCCAGCAGCAGCGACGCCGAGCUCGCCGAGGUGCUCGAGAUGCUUGUGGUGCUUCUCCUCCUUCCUGUAGUCAGGGCCUGGGUCAUCUGCUAACACUUCGGUGGUUUCGGCAGCGUAGCCGCUGACACCAUCGGUAGCAUAGCUGGUGUCGGAGUAGGUGGUGUCGGAGUAGGGAACGGCGUCGUCAACAGGCUUGUCCUUGUGGUGGAAGAGGUGGUGGUGAUGCUUCUCCUCCGACAUGGUGGUGGUGAUCAAAUUAGCUGCAGAAACGAGAGAGGAAGAUGGUUUGUGAACUGUGAAGGUGUGAUGUGGGAGAGUGCAGUGGUGGGUGGUGGGGUAUUUAUAAAUGCUGGUUGCGAAGGUGUCCAAAGAUCGUGGGAGAGAUGAAUGGGUAUUGGGAAUGGCCCGAAUGGGUGGGGCCUCACCAUUCACCAUUCUUAUCUACAUUUUUCAAAUCUCGAUGGCUCCUACUCUGUCGAUACUUUGUUUUUGUGUCGGCAAUUUCAUUGGAUCUUUAACCACGACAUUUUUUAACCACAUUUUUAGAUUUCCGUGAUAUUAUCAUAAUUGUUUUUGUUAGUCAUUCGUUGGAUUUAUUUCAAAAGUAGGAAAAUGUUUGAAAAAUAUACAUCAUCAUUUGCGUCUUUGAUCCACUCUCAAUAGGAAAUAAAUAAAUAAGAAAAGAAAACCACAAAGUCUCAGGUAGCAAAGAGUCCAUAUCAAAGUAUCAAACCUUUUUAUCGAUGAAUAUUUUUAGGAAGAACAAUCUAUUAUUUGUAAAAUAAUUUUUAUAUAUUGAGUGAUAACCCUUCAAUUCGAUAUCGUUAGAUCAUUAAGGUCGGCUUUUGUCCCUAUUCGACGGGUGGAUCUUGUAGUCAAACUCCCUUUUACCUUUGCACUCAAGGUCCAUCUUUGUUUUGCUUGAGAAAACCUUUGUUAAUUUCCAUUACCUUUUGAGAGACUUACGCUCUAUAAAAAUUAUUUAUCUAUUCCUUGACGAGGAAAUUCAAAUUCUUUUACUUAAAUUUAUUUUAUAAAACAUUAAAAAAGGUUAAAUAUAAUAAAAUUAUUAAAAAUUUGAAUUUAAGAAAUCAUUUAUUUUUUAAAUUUUGACAUGAACAUAUAUGGGUAAAAAACAAAAAGAGACAAAAACAAAAUAUGUUUUUUUGUGCAGUAAUCAAUUAAAAAAUCACUUUCAAUUUAAUAAAAGAUGUAAUUUUUAAUAUUAAAGCUUAGAGAAAAAAGAAUUGACUUGAUUGGAAUGAAUUACAAAAAUCACACCCCAAUGAAGAGGAACCCCAUACAGCACCUCCUUUCCUUUUCAUAAAGCAAAGACCUUUCAUCAGUAGGCAUGUGAAGGAGGGAAAUGAACUUGGCAGAUUCCACCUUAAAGUGCUAAAACAUGGCACUUGCCCCUCUUUCUAAUCAAACUUAACCCCACCUACAUUAUCUACAUUAUUUAUUGUACAUUAUCUUUCUCCAACUAAUACUAGUAUUUCACAUCUCACAAUUUUUUUAUUCUAUUGGAUGUGAGUCUAUUAUUGCAGUUAGGUCAGCUAAUCAGGAUCCCAUGGAUAAGGUGCCACAUAUUAAUAUUUUAGCCUUUUAGGUGUUGCUAUUCAUCCUCCUUUAUGACUUGGGCUCCAUUUCUUUGCUUGAACCUCACUUUUAGGGUAAUUUCUUUUCUUGGACUAUUAGUUUAUUUGUUGCACAUAAAAAGGCCACUUUAAUGGCCGUCAAACUUUGAUAAAAUAUGUCUUAUUUUGUACUUUAAGGUGGUGUUUAUUUUUUAAUUGAAUAAAAAAAAAAUAAAAAUAUUUGAUUUUUUCUAUUUAAUUAAAAGUAAUUUGUUGAGAUCGUUCAAUGUAACUAAAAUGAACUUGUUAUCAAUAAAUUUACUUUAGUUAUGUUAGACAAUAUUAAUAGGUUACUUUUAAUUGAAUAGAAAUAAAAGUCAUUUUAAUUAUAUUGGACAAUAUUAACAAGUUAUUUUUAGUUGAAUAGAAAAAACUAAAUAUUUUAAUUUUUUUUAUUCAGUCAAAAAACAAACAUCACCUAUAAAAAUUGAUAACUUUUAUAUAUUUGUACUAUGGUAGAUGGGCUUGGCCCACUUGGGCGUAGGGUAGAUAUUUGAAUUUUGAACAGAAAAAAAAAAAAGGGAAAAAAGGAAAAAAGGAAAGGGGAAAGAGAAGGAGAAGAUAAAUCAAUAAAUCAUAAAAGCAGGAAGGAGAGGUGGAAAAUGGUCCUCUGGUCUGGACCAGGAGAAAGUGGCCGGUGAUGGGGCCCAUUGGGUCUGUGUCGGCAAGGCCCCAUUUAUUUCGGCAUCAAUAUACCUGCCUGAUUGGUUCCAUGCCUGCCAUAUGUUUACGCUUUUGUCAAUUAUUAUAAAAAACAACUUCUUUGUCAAUAAACUCUUUAAUUUUUACUUCUCUAUCGUCUUUAAUGGGUGUGAAAAAAGUCAUACAUGCCUAUUGUAUUCUUCUCCUUUUUAGUAGGUAAAAACCUACAGGCUAUCCCUAAACUGAAUUUUAUAAUAUUUCAGAAAAUAUGAAAUUUAUUUUUAAUUAAUAAAAAUUUGGAUUAAAUAUCAAUCAUAAUUUCAUAACUGAUAUGGCCGGUGAUAAAGAACGAGUGAGUCACGCUAGGGCCACGGAUGUAUCACAUUCAUGGUGUGCCUGGGCUUAGUGGUUGAUGUGAAAUAGAUAUAGGUGUAGCGCAUAGUGUAAACGGGCCCAGGGAAAUUCAAAAUCGCGUUGCCACGUUCCAUAGAAAGGACAAGAAAUUAGAAGCUGGGAGUGGUCCACGUCUUCCAGGUAACCCCCACGCUGCUAACGAUUAUUCAAUGCCUUCCUACUCCAAAUCAAACCUAAUGUUCAACAUCGACAUGUCUCAUAUGACACAUCCUUAUAGAUGAAGUUGGUGAACUGUGGAGAAGAGAGAGUAAGGGCGUGUGAGCGGAGAUAAUUCACAAUUGAUUGGCAGGUUUCGGAUAUUUUCUUCGGCUUUGUCCUGGGUUUUUGGAAAGGUUUGAUUGGCCCGACCCAAUCCUACAACCCAUACUAAACCACACAAUCGAAUCCUACGAGAGACCAAACCCAACCUUAAAUCAAGUUCCUCAUUAUGGGCUUCAUAGCCCAACUUAGCACUCCAGCCCAUCCUAACAUUGGGAAAAAUAAAUUAAUGAAAAUUAAGACUAGAUAUGAAUAAUUUCUUUUAUUAUCUUAAACUGCUGAAAGGGAUUAGUUAUCCUACACAGCUUGAACAGAAAAAGAGCCCUCUAAAACUCACCUACUUGAGAUUUAAGGCAUAAAAAAGUCCUUACCUUAAUAAUUGUAAGAGAUCGUUGGAUCAAAUGAUUCAAAUCUGGGACUUGCUCACACAAUCAAUCCAUUUCAUGAGACGAAUUACCAGUGAGGCUCUCUUCACCAUCUACAAGAUUUCGGAUGUAGCGAGUCAAGUAAGAACUUGGACCAUAGCAAAUGCUUGAUAAAAACCCUCCAUACAGUAAGCAAUGGAUGCCAAGCUUAAACAGAUUUUUCCUCUCUUGGUUGGUGUCUCUCUGUGCUUCAUACCCACCAGUACUUUCUUCAUCCCAACUCGAAGAAUCCAUGGCAGUGCAGCCUGAAUGAGCCUGAAAACCCCAGAUCUUGGAAGUUUCCAUCUUUUGCAGCCAGUUGGAAUCAAUGGGAUCUUUAAAUUUUUUACAAAGAUGGUGUCCCUGGAUCAGAAAACUCCAAACUUUUGGUGUAAUACUUGAGACACAGUUAAGGAACUGCUUAGAUAUGUUCUCCAAUCCUCCAUUAUGAGCUUGACUCCCAAAAAAAUUGGCCUCGAAUUCAUCUGCUAGUGAGCACUCAUUGCAUUUAUGACUCUGAAGAGACGAAAGAUUUAGAACAGGCAACCUCCCUUUCACAAAGGAAUUCAAUAGUGAGCUUCUAGCAAGACUUAAAAGGGACUCCCCAGCAUUCAUCCAGAAGUUUGCAAUUGAUGCGAUCAAAGAAGAGUCAGAGAGGAAAAUACGGUGGGUUGCACCUGCAAGCAACAAGGAGUAUGCUGCACUGGUCUUGAUCAAGCUCAAGGCUUCCAGCUCAUCUCCGUCCAUUUCAGAAUGCAGAUCCAGUAAUUGACUAGCACGGACUCUGUAUGCAGAAGCCAGUGUUGUGUAGGCGGCCAAAGAGAGAUGGUGCAGGGGGUGCAACUUGAAAUUUGCUUGUGAUUUUCCCUCAAUUGGUUCUAACUGCUCAUCUGGAAGACCUUGAGCAAUAACAUUCUCAAGCUUCUCACAGCAAGCUUCAGGGUUGCCAACUGACAAAUAGUCAGCUAUAGCAUCAUCUACAUAAUCAGUCAACUUUCUGAUUUCCUCCUCUCUACACAUGUUAUCAUCUAUGUAAUUGAGACUAUGAGCCAAAGUUUCCUAUAGGGAAGAACAGAGAAAUGUCAAUCCUUGUUUUAUGACAGUACUAGAAUUCAGGCACUUCAAUUGCAGAUUAAAAAAUGCUUGUGAAGUUCAGACUUCAGAGUUGAUACAGAAAUAUUGUGAGUACUUCACCGUACAAAGUGGCCCCCGAAAAAUAACCAGAGUGGACAAGGGAAAGGAUAAAACAGGAUGAGAAAAGCUACUAUGAAUUACUCAAUAGCUUUUCCUAGUUCCAAUUGAUAUGGAGAAAAAGACUCCAACUGUCUGUCAGCCUUUUGAGAAGGAAAAAGCAGAUGUAACUAAGGGAGACAACUUGAAGAAACAAAAGAUAUGAAAGGCAAAGAAGAAAAUAAAUAGCACACAUACAGAUUCUGGAUGCAGCUCUAAUUGCAAAUGACGCAGCUGACUCAAGGGAGAGAAGCUCUAGGGCUGGUUUAGUUUGCAAGUUGGACAUAUGUACUUUGGUGUGCCCCUUUUGGCAUUUUAAUACAAUUUGCACUUACCUAUCAAAAAAAAAAAAAAGUUUGCAAUUUGGACAUAGAAAAGGCUUAUGACCAUGUUGAUUGGAAUUUUCUCCUCCCAGUAACGAAAAAGAUGGAGUUUGGUCUAAAAUCGAGAAAGUGGAUUCAUUUUUCCAUUGUAAGGAUGUCAAUCUUAGUCAAUGUUUCUCCUUCAGAUUUCUUUCAGACAUCUAGAGGAUUGUGGCAGGGUGAUCCUCUCUCACCCUAUCUCUUCAUGAUUGUCAUGGAAGCUCUACAUUGUAUACUCUCAAGGGCUGACUAGGGAGUGUUCAUUCAUGGCUUCAAGGUCAGGGGCAGAAGGGGUGAAGGUUUCCAAGUAUUCCAUCUCCUGUUUAAGGAUGAUAGAAAAAUUUGGAUCAACUAAGAUACUGGAGGUGGAUUGUAAUAGGCUUCAAGGUUGUGUUAGGUCUGAAAAUAAACCUGUAAAAAAGUAACUCAUUCUAAUGGGGAAAGUGGAGGAUGUGGUGAGAUCAUCAUCUUUGCUUGGGUGUAAGAUUGGAAGGCUUCCCACUUCUUAUCAUGGUUUGCCCUUUGGAGUGCUUCAUAAGUAUUGCGUUGUAUGGGAUGCUGUCAAGGAAAUGUUUGGUAAAAGAUUGGCUUCUUGGAAGGUGUGGUAUUUGUCAAAAAGAGGAAGAUUAGUUCUUUCAAAGAGCACUUUCUCAAGCUUAUCAAUCUAUUUUAUGGCCUUUUUUUCUAUUUCCAGGAAAGUGAGGAUCAAAUCAUAAAGGAUUCAGAGAGACUUUUUGUAAGGAAAUCUUUGGUAAACCAAUAAGAUGCAUUNNNNNNNNNNNNNNNNNNNNNNNNNNNNNNNNNNNNNNNNNNNNNNNNNNNNNNNNNNNNNNNNNNNNNNNNNNNNNNNNNNNNNNNNNNNNNNNNNNNNAGGAAGAACAUCCAAAGAAAGUGCAGGGAACUGGUCAAGGGGUGGAACAUUUGUGAGGUGAGGGAGACUUCUGGUAUAAGCCUAUGGAAAGACUUAAGAAAAGGUUGGGAGGAAUUCAACCACAGGAUAGCUAUCCAAAUUAAAAAUGGUAGCCAGACAAAAUUUUAGAGGGAUGGGUGGGUGGGUGGGGGGGAACUGUUUGAAAGAAGCAUUUCCUCUAUUGUUUAGUCUAGCUUCUCAAAAGAAUGCCAUUGUUGCAAACAUGUGGGAUGGGAGAGGUAGUGGAGGCCAGUGGGUGCAUUUCAAAAGGCCAUUCCAAGAUUGGGAAAUGGAGGGGGUGUCCUAAUUUUUAGAACUUAUUUAUUCAUACAGCAAAAGUGCAAGAAGAAGGGAAAGAUAUCUUAGUUUGGAAGGAGGAUAGGAAGAGAAUCUUCAGUACUAAGUUGUACUACAGUUCAUUGUGUGCCGAAUUUAGAGUGGACUUCCCAACCAAAGAAAUUUGGGGGCUCCCAAGCUCUUACGAGAUCAUGUUUUCUCACUUGGGAAACAGUAUGGGAGAAGAUCUCAACCAUAGAUUUGUUAAUGAAGAGGGAUGGACAAUGUUAAUAGAUAUAGUCUUUGCAAAGAGAGUGAUGAGUCUGCUGAUCAAAUUUUCAUUCACUGUGCAAUGACAAAGGUAUUAUAGAUGUUUGUUUUAUCAAUUUUUAGUUAGAAAUAAGUUUCUAGCUACAGUGAGGAAUAUGCUUCUCAAGUGGAAGUUUUUAAGGUAUUGGACAAGAAGAGUCACCAUCUUUGACAAAUGACACCCCUCUGCUUAUUCUGGUGUAUAUGGAAAGAGGGAAACCAUAAAAUCUUUAAUGGGGAAGAGCUUGCAUAUUAGAGAUUAAAAGAGAGCUUUAUUAAAUCCCUCUUUGAUUGGUCCAAAGUUCUGUUAGAAAUGGGCAAUUCUGAAUGAUGGCUUUCGUAAAUGGUCUUAGUUGUGGAUAGUUUGGUUUUGAGUUGAGGUUGUUUUUUUAUUCGUUGUUUUGUUUUUUUUGUGUUUACUCCCAGUAUAUGUAAGGUAUGCCCCCUUUCAUUGGCAUGCUCUUUUAAUAUAUUAUCCUUUUGCUUAUCAAAAGAAAAAAAGAAAAAAGAAAAAAGAAAAAUAAAGAGAACACAUAAAUCAGGGGAAGGAUGAAGGAAUUAAACCAAUAGGAAUGAGAAACAGUUGGGUAUAUUUUUUCGACAGAUACUUCAUGCAGCAGGGGCAAGAUGGGGGAAAACCUUACCACUCCUGGUGCCAUAAAUGUGGCAUAUAUGCAUCGUGUUCUAACUCCACACCUAGUACUAUAAUUUUCACAGAAGACGAUCACCCUUCCCCACCCAGCAAAUCUAAAAUCAAGUUGCAAAAUGAAUCUUCUAGACUGCUUUCGGAUUUCUCCUAAACAUCAAAAUAAACAAAUGAUAGGCAUACUGUUCCAUAGAAGUCUUACUUGCAAAACAAGAUCCACAUAAGUAGGGGGCGAUGCAUUACAACGGUUACAGCAACAGGAAAACCAAUACUUCACCCAUAACUCUGCAUGUCUAAUUUCCUGGAAAAUCAAAUCAGUGCAAAUAAAAGCGUAUAACGUGAACUCAAAAAACUAAAAAAAAAACAGAGUAUAGAAGGAUGAGUUGGAACACAUUUUAGCACAAUGCCACUGAGUUCACUUACACUAUGGUGAUUAUGCAAGUAAUAUAAAAUCAUGCAACUUCUCAUUAGGUCGACUCCUUGUCAUUUUUCGCAAUCACUUCAAACAUAAGGCACAAUGCAAUAAUCUAAAAGCUUAAAAGUAAUAGCAGAUAUGCCAAAUUUACAAGCACAUUUUGCACAUUCAAUCUCUUAACAGUGGAACUGUAGAUACUGAAAAUGAAGAUUACCUUAGGCUGCAACAGGUCUAUGUAUGCAACCCACACCUCCUCACCCUUUUUAAUUGCCUUGAUGCUCCGAACGAUGAUUCUUGGCCCGUGUAUGUUGCAUCCUUUACUAGAGAAAAUCAAUUACAAGUAGAUAAUCAAAAUAUCCAAUAAAUUCACAACUGAUUUUUUUGAGAAACCAAAUUGAAAAAAACAUAAAAUAAUUAAAAUAAAAAAGAUUCAAUCACCUUCUAUUGAUUCACUUUUGCUACGAACAGCAUUCUGUAUCUGAAAAACAUUUCGGUUUCAUAAUUUUCAAAUCCUUUGAAUAUGGUUAAAAUUAAAGAAACAAUUCAGAAUUUAGGAAUAGUGAUCUAUUUUUCUUUACUUCAAUUUCAUCAUUGCCUCCAGGGAUAAUCUGGAGCCUCGACUCGCCAGAAAACUGGGGCGUCUCAGGUGAACGGAGCAAGAAACGGUAACAAGCAUUGGGAGAACAGCUGUGAUUGAUCCAAGAGAAGCACCAAUCGUAGACGGCUAUCCCUAGGGCGGACCCUCCAUUAACCUGCACUUCAACUGCAUUGGUGAGGACCAGGCAGAGCAGGGCCUCCUCCAGUUUGGAGUCCCCGGAGAAUUCCGUACCAUCUCGCAUACAUCGGGCAACGGCCAUGGCCUUGCCGCCGUCUCGGAUUCUCGUCAGAGUCUCAUCACUUUCCGAGUUGUGGGAGGGUGAGAUGAGGUGGUGGAGGUUGGUGAGUAGGCCGCAGAUUCGAUGGAGCGGUUGGGUAUGGAGGGGAGGGAGGUGGAGGAUGUGGAGGAGGCGGAGGGCAGCACGGAGGUCGGAGGAGUGAGCGGUGGAGGGGUGGGAAUGGCGGAGGAGGAGGAAGAGGUGGUGCUCGGCGCUGGAGAAGUGGAG